UCAGACCGGAAGGACUGGUGGAGUGCUUAGAAGUGAGAAUGCCGGUAUGAGUAGCGAAAGACGGGUGAGAAUCCCGUCCACCGAAUGCCUAAGGUUUCCUGAGGAAGGCUCGUCCGCUCAGGGUUAGUCAGGACCUAAGCCGAGGCCGACAGGCGUAGGCGAUGGACAACAGGUUGAUAUUCCUGUACCACCUCUUUAUCGUUUGAGCAAUGGAGGGACGCAGAAGGAUAGAAGAAGCGUGCGAUUGGUUGUGCACGUCCAAGCAGUUAGGCUGAUAAGUAGGCAAAUCCGCUUAUCGUGAAGGCUGAGCUGUGAUGGGGAAGCUCCUUAUGGAGCGAAGUCUUUGAUUCCCCGCUGCCAAGAAAAGCUUCUAGCGAGAUAAAAGGUGCCUGUACCGCAAACCGACACAGGUAGGCGAGGAGAGAAUCCUAAGGUGUGCGAGAGAACUCUGGUUAAGGAACUCGGCAAAAUGACCCCGUAACUUCGGGAGAAGGGGUGCUUUCUUAACGGAAAGCCGCAGUGAAUAGGCCCAAGCGACUGUUUAGCAAAAACACAGCUCUCUGCGAAGCCGUAAGGCGAAGUAUAGGGGGUGACACCUGCCCGGUGCUGGAAGGUUAAGGAGAGGGGUUAGCGUAAGCGAAGCUCUGAACUGAAGCCCCAGUAAACGGCGGCCGUAACUAUAACGGUCCUAAGGUAGCGAAAUUCCUUGUCGGGUAAGUUCCGACCCGCACGAAAGGUGUAACGAUUUGGGCACUGUCUCAACCAGAGACUCGGUGAAAUUAUAGUACCUGUGAAGAUGCAGGUUACCCGCGACAGGACGGAAAGACCCCGUGGAGCUUUACUGUAGCCUGAUAUUGAAUUUUGGUACAGUUUGUACAGGAUAGGCGGGAGCCUUUGAAACCGGAGCGCUAGCUUCGGUGGAGGCGCUGGUGGGAUACCGCCCUGACUGUAUUGAAAUUCUAACCUACGGGUCUUAUCGACCCGGGAGACAGUGUCAGGUGGGCAGUUUGACUGGGGCGGUCGCCUCCUAAAGUGUAACGGAGGCGCCCAAAGGUUCCCUCAGAAUGGUUGGAAAUCAUUCGUAGAGUGCAAAGGCAUAAGGGAGCUUGACUGCGAGACCUACAAGUCGAGCAGGGACGAAAGUCGGGCUUAGUGAUCCGGUGGUUCCGCAUGGAAGGGCCAUCGCUCAACGGAUAAAAGCUACCCCGGGGAUAACAGGCUUAUCUCCCCCAAGAGUCCACAUCGACGGGGAGGUUUGGCACCUCGAUGUCGGCUCAUCGCAUCCUGGGGCUGUAGUCGGUCCCAAGGGUUGGGCUGUUCGCCCAUUAAAGCGGUACGCGAGCUGGGUUCAGAACGUCGUGAGACAGUUCGGUCCCUAUCCGUCGUGGGCGUAGGAAAUUUGAGAGGAGCUGUCCUUAGUACGAGAGGACCGGGAUGGACGCACCGCUGGUGUACCAGUUGUUCUGCCAAGGGCAUAGCUGGGUAGCUAUGUGCGGAAGGGAUAAGUGCUGAAAGCAUCUAAGCAUGAAGCCCCCCUCAAGAUGAGAUUUCCCAUAGCGUAAGCUAGUAAGAUCCCUGAAAGAUGAUCAGGUUGAUAGGUUCGAGGUGGAAGCAUGGUGACAUGUGGAGCUGACGAAUACUAAUAGAUCGAGGACUUAACCAUAUAA
Molecule: ribosomal RNA, 1667 nt
Filed under: Bacillus cereus
Lineage: Bacteria; Bacillati; Bacillota; Bacilli; Caryophanales; Bacillaceae
Description: bacterial LSU rRNA
Rfam family: Bacterial large subunit ribosomal RNA
Source: RNAcentral